AAGAACCAGCUUUUUAGUUUGUUGAUUUUUUUUUUGUAUUGCAUUUUAGUUAUCUGUUUCAUUUAUUUCCGCUCUCAUCUCUAUUGUUUCUAUUCUUCUAUUACUUUUGACUUUAGCUUGUUCUUGUUUUUCCAGUUCCUUGAGAUACAACAUUAGAUUGUUUAUUUAUAAUCCUUUUUUUCUUAUGAGAAUAAGUUGCUGUAAACCUUUCUCUUACUACCAUGUUUGCUGUAUUCUAGAGGUUCUGGAGUAUAGUGUUUUUAUUAUAAUUUGUUUUAAGAAAUUUUAAAAUUUCAUUUUUAAUUUGUUCAGUAGAUUCAAAAUCAUUCAGGAGCAUGUCGUUUAGUUCCCAUGUGUUUUUUGUAUUUUCAGAAGUUUUCUUUUGUUGAUUUCAAGUUUAACUCCAUUAUAGUCAGAGAAGAUGCUAAAGAUGCUUCUAUCCUAGAUUUGUAGAGGCUUACGUUGUGCCCUGUUAGAAAAUGCCCCGUGUGCUGCUGAAAACUGUGUGUGUUCUAUUUGCUGGGUGACGUGGUCUGUGAACGUUCAGGUCCGUUCGGUUUUCGCUAUCACCUAGCUGCAGUGUCUGUUUGUCUUUGUUUAGAUGAGCUGUCCAGUUGUGAGAAUGGAGUGUCGGGAUCUCCAGCAGUAAAUGUAUUUGAGUCUGUGUCCCCUUCAGAUUUACAGUCUGGUUUAUAUAUUUGGGCACACUAAAGUGUGCAGAAAUAUUUAUAAAAAAAUGUAAUGAGCGUUUUGUCUCUUUUUUAUAGAUUUUUAUUUUUAAAUCACUUUUGUCUGAUAUUAGGAUGACUACACCUGCUUUUAAUUUUUAAUUUUUUUUUACUUGCAUUAAUUGACAUUCCAUUCUAUCUGUGUGUUUUUAUUCCAGUGAGGUGUGUUUCUUACGAGCUUAAAGAGGGCUUUUUUUUUUUCCCCCAUUUAGCCAAUAUGUAUUUUUAGAUGGGGGGGGAGUUUAGUUCAUUUAUAGUCAAUGAUAUUAUUAUGUACAAAUUUAUAGCUUCCAUUUUGUUGGUUAGUUAUGUGUGUUUUCUUAUUUCUCCUGUUAUUGCUUGUCUUUGCUAUUUGGUAGAUUUCCAUAGUGGAAGGGUGAAUCAUUUCUUUGUUCAUGUGGUUGUUCUGCUGGUGAGUUUUAUAGAUUCACGUGUUUCCAUGGAGAUAAUUAUCUUCCUUUCUUUUCCAGAUGUAGCACACCCUCACAUGUUUUGUUUCUUUUUUUUUUUUAACAGAGAGAAAUCUUUACUAUAGGGUGUGUGCACUCGCUGGAGAGACAGAAACAGAGACAGAAAGUGAGAAAUCAGCCCCCAAGAGGAUUGGCCACACCACAGUCCCUUCUCCUCUCAGGGUUUGGGCCCGCAUGCACGUGCAGCUGGCGUGAGCUCUAAGUUGCCAGGCGGGAGUCCAGCAGUGCAACCACCACGCCACCCGCUAGCCCCUCUCGAGCUUCUUAAGGAGCCAAUCUGUCUCUGGUGAAUUCUUCAGUCUUGGCUUGCCUGGAAAUUAUUUUUGCUUCAUAUUUGAAGGAAAGUUUUGUGGGGUAUAUAUUCUUGGUUAAACUGUUUUUCUUUUAGAAUUUGGAAUAUGUUGUCUCCCUCCCUCCUGGCCUGUAAGGUUUCUGCUGAGAUGUCUGAGGUUAGUCUGAUGGGGUAUCCUUUGUAGGUAACGUCUCCCUUAUCUCUAGACAUUUUUAGGAUUUUCUCUUUAUCUUUUUAGCAUGGAGUAUAAAUUUUUCAGUUUUCCUCAGAGGUUGGAGUCUGGGUGUAAUACUGUGGUAGAUGACGGUGGACAAGUUGCUUAACCCGGUGCCGGUUUCCUCAUCUCUGAAGGUUGGCUUAAAGACUUCCUUUAUAGUUGACAGAGCUUUUGACACUGGUUUUGCAAAAACUAAGUAUGCAGCAAAUACUUCGCAUGAAUAUGUCACGUCCCCCUUAAAACCGUCACCCCCUGAGUUACCUCAAGUGUAAUGAAUGUUUAUGACCGAGUGGCUUUUUCUCAUGCCCCUGUUGGUGUGCCAUGGUCAGUAGAUGAGGCACAGAGACAGGGACCUGGAUUUGUGGUCUCUACUCAGCCCACAGGUAGAGGAGCCAGUGUAUCUUAACUAUAUGGAAAUGCCAGAACAGUUCCAGACAUCAUGGUUUGCAAUAAAAGUUUACAUUGAAUAGGAUUUGAACACCAAAAGGGAAAAGAAAAACGUUGUAAUUUCGUUCACAGGAGAACUAUAGGCUUAGAAAAAUAACCAUUCUCAGUCCACUACGGAUGUGCUGCCCGGGGUAAGACAUAGCCUCACUUACACGGUCUUAGAUGUGUCCAUGAGGAAGACAGAGUAAGACGCUAGAAUUGAUCCUGACUUUGAAACUAAUUAUAAAAAAGAAAUCCUUUGGGUUAUACCCCAACUAGUAGUUCCUGAGUUAAAUUUUGAAUAGAAAUAGACUCUUUAUUAUUGAUAGUCCAGUGACAGAGAGGAGUACAGCAGGUAGACGCAUCAUAAGAAUGUUUAAAUUUAUUGCUGACUUGACACAAAACAUCAAUGGACAUAACAUAAAACUAUACCAUGCCAUCGUGAUGACCUUAGGCAAAACUGGCCAACGAAGAUCUUUAGAAGAACAGACAUAUACUAUAAAAUGUUAGUAAUCGCCAAAAGAAAAUAGAGGUUACCCGAAUCCUCUAUUCACAUGAUAAAAGAACCUGAAAAAGUUUUCGGAAGCUGACAGUUCUAACACUUAUAUGAUAUUUCCAAAAAUGAAUUGUAAAGAUUGAUGGAACUCGUAAACUCUCUCAAUAAUUAAAAAGACCAUUUGAAUAUUCCAGAGUAAAAUUAAAUUAUAGAAAAAUCAUUGUCUGUGAAGAGGUGAUAUCAAAACAUAUGCUGCUAAAUCAAUGUGGGAAAAAUUUAAAUGUGUCGGUUAAUAUUUUUUAUUUUCCUAAAUUUUGUGUUAUUGAUGAUAUUUGUCAGAGUUAAACUUUUUAAAUUUAAAGCUAGGAUUUUGUUUCUUAUUCAGAGUACUUAACAUUUACAGUUAAUUUUGCAUACUUGCAUAUUCAUUUUCUGAAAGAAGGCUGUCACGGGUCUUACAGGCUUCUAGGAAACAAAGCUCUGCUGUAGUCAGUGGGCUGGGUUUACGGAAGGGCAAAGUGGAGACGGGAGGACAGCACAGCUCUUCCCAGGUGGCAUCCGUUACUGAAGAUACCUACUAGUUCGAAUAUGAGCAGCACAUUUUAAAAAUCCUGGGAGCUGCUUUUUUUUUUUUUUUUAAGAAUUAUUUAUUUAAUUUUAUUUAUUCAUUUUAUUUUAAUUUGACCAGAGAGAGACAGACGGAAAGAAAGUGAGAAAGCAAGCCACCAGGUCCGGAACUCAAACCAGUUGGCCAUGUGCAAGUAUCCAGCACUUUAACCACCACGCCACCUGCUGGUCCCAAGAAAUAGUGGAACCUUCUUACCUGACACUCAGAUCCUGAGGACUCAGGAUGGGGUCUACAGGUGCUGUCCUCCUCACUCUUCCUGGCUCUCAAACCUUCGCUCAGUGAAUAUGUGGGACAUGCGUGUCCCAGAUGCGGUCAGCAGCCUGAGGCAGGCCGUCGCUUGGUUGCAGUGCUGCGUCUGACUGUCGGGGUCCUGGGUGCAGACAACAGAAUCUGCCUACCAGGCAUAAAGUCCAGGCGGGAACCCAGCACGUUUCCCUGGUAGGACCCCCUCCUCCCCCGGAGCCUGGCCUACCCCUGAGCCCCCUGAGCUGGUGUCUAGGAGCCAGCCCCUGCCAGCUGCCACGCUGCCCUGCCAUCACGCCUCUGAAGGGCGAGCCACGACCUCUGAUUGGCAGACUGAGGGCUUGCCUGUGGCUUCAGGAGUGGGCAGUGGCUCCCGUUGAGGCCGCGUCGAGAACUCGCCCCAGGCGCACUGGAUGGAGCUAAAGGCUAGUGGCUACCACGCCUUUCCCCGCCCCCUCCUUACCAUCUGUGAUUAUUGUGCUAUUUCUGGCUACGAGUUUAUUCAACCCAGCUGCUCACCGAGCUGGCUGGCCAUGUCCACCCCGUCCGCCUCUGGCCUGGAACUGGGUUGCUGAACUUCUCGUGCAUCCUGCAGGUUGCUCACUGUCUAGACCUUUGGGUGGAGGCCUGCUCGCCUCAGAUUGGCCUCGGCUCAUGGCGAGCAUGACCUCGGGCCAGGUAGAGGGGUUCCCGGAGACACUGGGCACCGUGUGGGUCAGGUACCUGUGGGCGGGAAACUGCGCCUUCAUGCAGCCUGAAGACUGAAGCGGCGGCUGCAUGGCCUCCACGAUGCAGAGGUUGGGCACGUUUUGUCUGCCAACUCCGAGUCUCAGGUUAUGACAUCCUGGCCCACCAUCAGACCCUCCUUCUAAGGGGAACUCAUUCAUGCUGAUCGUUCUCCUCGGACAUCACGUCAUGGCGGCUGCUGAGCAGGGGCUGCGCUGGAAGGCACCACUCACUACUGAGGGCUUGCUGUGUGCUUGGACGGUGUGGGCGCCUGGCGCGGUUCUUAAUCCUCAGAGCUGGGUGGGCGAUGCAUCAGUGAGGGCGCUGCCCCGCCAGAGGCCCCGUGGUCGCACUGGGCUUUUUCUGGUCCCAGCGGGGUCCUCUGCAAAGCUGGGCAGCGGCCUCCCAGGUGACAUCGCACCUGCAGGCUGUUCCACACUGCCCAGACCUGUCCCAGGGCAGUGCCUCUGAAGCGAGGUGGCCAGAGGGAGCCCGGACCUCAUGCGCCUACUCAGUCAUGCAUCACCUCGCUCGGACACACUGGUGGCCUGCCAGGGUGCAGCACUGCUGUCUGUGUUCGGGGAGGGAGGGCCCGGACAGCCUGCUGAGAACCGGCAGUUUGCCAGCGUACCGAGCGUCGCCUCGGACCCUCAGCCCUGGGGACCAAAUCCACACGCUCCCACUGGUCCUUCUCAGCUCCGAGUCCAUCAGCGUCUUCCCCCUGUCAUGGCCUGUUUGUUCAUGCCGUCAUCAGCUUUCAGAGAUGUUUCUCAUUUUAAUAAAGACCAAUUUAUAAAUUUU
Tupaia belangeri chinensis (Chinese tree shrew) is the source of this 5027-nucleotide long non-coding RNA. RefSeq lists it as uncharacterized. The transcript is spliced from 2 exons. Lineage: Eukaryota; Metazoa; Chordata; Mammalia; Scandentia; Tupaiidae. The record is from RefSeq and is a predicted model, not a curated record.